This 327-nucleotide ribosomal RNA is filed under the name uncultured eukaryote. RNAcentral's name for it is "partial 18S ribosomal RNA". It matches the Rfam family "Eukaryotic small subunit ribosomal RNA", at positions 1470 to 1796 of the family's 1831-position model. The record is from RNAcentral.
CCCUUAGAUGUUCUGGGCCGCACGCGCGCUACACUGACGAAUGCAACGAGCUUAUAACCUUGGCCGAAAGGUCUGGGUAAUCUCCAAAUUUCGUCGUGAUGGGGAUAGAUUAUUGUAAUUAUUAAUCUUCAACGAGGAAUGCCUAGUAAGCGCAAGUCAUCAGCUUGCGUUGAUUACGUCCCUGCCCUUUGUACACACCGCCCGUCGCUCCUACCGAUUGAAUGGUCCGGUGAAGCGUUCGGACCGUGGCCUUUGGACGGUUCGCCGUCUGUUGGCUGCGGGAAGUUCGUUAAACCUUAUCAUUUAGAGGAAGGAGAAGUCGUAACA